This 459-nucleotide ribosomal RNA is filed under the name uncultured bacterium. RNAcentral's name for it is "partial 16S ribosomal RNA". It matches the Rfam family "Bacterial small subunit ribosomal RNA", at positions 338 to 795 of the family's 1533-position model. The record is from RNAcentral.
CCUACGGGUGACAGCAGUGAGGAAUAUUGGUCAAUGGGCGCGAGCCUGAACCAGCCAAGUCGCGUGAGGGAAGACGGUCCUAUGGAUUGUAAACCUCUUUUGUCGGGGAGCAAAAGACGCCACGCGUGGCGUUCCGAGAGUACCCGAAGAAAAAGCAUCGGCUAACCUCGUGCCAGCAGCCGCGGUAAUACGGAGGAUGCGAGCGUUAGCCGGAUUUAUUGGGUUUAAAGGGUGCGCAGGCGGAAGAUCAAGUCAGCGGUAAAAUUGAGAGGCUCAACCUCGUCGAGCCGUUGAAACUGGUGUGCUUGAGUGAGUGAGAAGUAUGCGGAAUGCGUGGUGUAGCGGUGAAAUGCAUAGAUAUCACGCAGAACUCCGAUUGCGAAGGCAGCAUACCGGCGCUCAACUGACGCUCAUGCACGAAAGUGUGGGUAUCGAACAGGAUUAGAUACCCGGGUAGUC